CCCUUAGAUGUCCUGGGCUGCACGCGCGCUACACUGAUGCGUCCAAUAAGCACCUAACCUAAUCCGAAGGGACCGGGUAACCUUAGCAAAGCGCAUCGUGAUGGGGAUAGAUUAUUGCAAUUAUUAGUCUUGAACGAGGAAUUCCUAGUAAGCGCAAGUCAUCAGCUUGUGUUGAUUACGUCCCUGCCCUUUGUACACACCGCCCGUCGCUCCUACCGAUCGAGUGAUCCGGUGAAUACUUCGGACUGCAACCGGUGCGGUUUCCGUACCCUUUGCAAAAAGUUGAAUAAACCUUAUCACUUAGAGGAAGGAGAAGUCGUAACA
This 324-nucleotide ribosomal RNA is filed under the name uncultured eukaryote. RNAcentral's name for it is "partial 18S ribosomal RNA". It matches the Rfam family "Eukaryotic small subunit ribosomal RNA", at positions 1470 to 1796 of the family's 1831-position model. The record is from RNAcentral.